UGGGGAAUUUUGGACAAUGGGGGAAACCCUGAUCCAGCCAUCCCGCGUGUGCGAUGAAGGCCUUCGGGUUGUAAAGCACUUUUGGCAGGAAAGAAACGUCAUGGGUUAAUACCCCGUGAAACUGACGGUACCUGCAGAAUAAGCACCGGCUAACUACGUGCCAGCAGCCGCGGUAAUACGUAGGGUGCAAGCGUUAAUCGGAAUUACUGGGCGUAAAGCGUGCGCAGGCGGUUCGGAAAGAAAGGUGUGAAAUCCCAGAGCUCAACUUUGGAACUGCAUUUUUAACUACCGGGCUAGAGUGUGUCAGAGGGAGGUGAAAUUCCGCGUGUAGCAGUGAAAUGCGUAGAUAUGCGGAGGAACACCGAUGGCGAAGGCAGCCUCCUGAGAUAACACUGACGCUCAUGCACGAAAGCGUGGGGAGCAAACAGG
Molecule: ribosomal RNA, 429 nt
Filed under: Acidobacteriota bacterium
Lineage: Bacteria; Pseudomonadati; Acidobacteriota
Description: Acidobacteria bacterium partial 16S ribosomal RNA
Rfam family: Bacterial small subunit ribosomal RNA
Source: RNAcentral